UUUUGAGCCUUAAGUGAAGACUUAAGCUUUGGCUUUGAAGACGGGGAGUUCUUUUGGGAAGGUUUGACAGGUGUCGGGAUAAUUUUCUUUCCAUUAAACUUGAAUACAUAGGUGUUGUCCUUACCAUGGUUAAGCACAUCAUGAUCAUAUAAAGCCAAGGGCGACCUAAAACAAUAUAAGCAACAUCCAUAGGUAAAAUAUUACAAUAAAUUUCAUCUUUAUAAUGACCCAUUUGGAUGGGAACAAGACAUUUUUCAGUGACAGGUAAAGUUGUGUUAUUUACCCAAGCAACCCUAAAAGGUUUAGGAUGUGGUUCUACCUUAAGGUUAAGUCUAUUAAUGGCUUUCUUAGCUACCACAUUCACGGUGCUUCCCCUAUCAAUUACUAACUUGCAUGACCUAUCCCCACUUUUAACAAAAGUAUGAAAGAUGUUAGUGCGUUUCCAAUCGUCAUCAACAAAAGUUGACAAAACACUGCGAACAACAUUAAUAUGCUCAUCAGCUAUAUCUAGACAGCGAACAACAUUAACAUGCUCAUCAUCUAUAUCUAGCUUAUCUUCAUCACCAGAAUAAUCGAUAAGUCCUACAAGUUCUUCCUCAUAAUUAGAUGAGUUAUGCUCACUUUCAUGUUCCUCUUCACAUGCUUGUUCUAAAGCUAGUGCACAGUGUGGACAUUGAGAUGCAAUAUGACCUUUAUCCUGACAAUGAAAGCAUAUUAUGGAAGAGCUAUUAGCUCGAGACCCACUAGAUGCAACAACAAAAUGAGAACUAGCAAAAGCAGUUGGUUUACCUAUGCUUUUUUCUGUGCUCUCUUUAGGAUUGAAAGAUGAUUUUGACACUGUUUUAGUCUGACUUGGACCUACAGAUUGUGGAGAAGGCGUAGGUUGAUAUGAUCUAACUGAUUGUGAAGCAAACCUAUGGGAGGUGGGGAAUUGGUAAUAACUCUCAAUCUCUAAAGCCUUGUGAUAGGCUUC
RNAcentral lists this unclassified non-coding RNA (973 nucleotides) under Hevea brasiliensis (rubber tree). Lineage: Eukaryota; Viridiplantae; Streptophyta; Magnoliopsida; Malpighiales; Euphorbiaceae. The record is from RNAcentral.